UAGGGAAUCUUCCACAAUGGACGCAAGUCUGAUGGAGCAACGCCGCGUGAGUGAAGAAGGUUUUCGGAUCGUAAAGCUCUGUUGUUGGUGAAGAAGGAUAGAGGCAGUAACUGGUCUUUAUUUGACGGUAAUCAACCAGAAAGUCACGGCUAACUACGUGCCAGCAGCCGCGGUAAUACGUAGGGGGCAAGCGUUGUCCGGAUUUAUUGGGCGUAAAGCGAGCGCAGGCGGAAUGAUAAGUCUGAUGUGAAAGCCCACGGCUCAACCGUGGAACUGCAUCGGAAACUGUCAUUCUUGAGUGCAGAAGAGGAGAGUUGAAUUCCAUGUGUAGCGGUGGAAUGCGUAGAUAUAUGGAAGAACACCCGUGGCGAAGGCGGCUCUCUGGUCUGCAACUGACGCUGAGGCUCGAAAGCAUGGGUAGCGAACAGG
This 429-nucleotide ribosomal RNA is filed under the name bacterium. Its description in RNAcentral is "partial 16S ribosomal RNA". It matches the Rfam family "Bacterial small subunit ribosomal RNA", at positions 355 to 776 of the family's 1533-position model. The record is from RNAcentral.